AACGAACGCUGGCGGCAUGCCUAACACAUGCAAGUCGAACGAGACCUUCGGGUCUAGUGGCGCACGGGUGCGUAACGCGUGGGAACCUGCCUUUAGGUUCGGAAUAACUCAGAGAAAUUUGAGCUAAUACCGGAUGAUGUCUUCGGACCAAAGAUUUAUCGCCUUUAGAUGGGCCCGCGUUGGAUUAGCUAGUUGGUGGGGUAAAGGCCUACCAAGGCGACGAUCCAUAGCUGGUCUGAGAGGAUGAUCAGCCACACUGGGACUGAGACACGGCCCAGACUCCUACGGGAAGCAGCAGUGGGGAAUAUUGGACAAUGGGCGAAAGCCUGAUCCAGCGAUGCCGCGUGAGUGAUGAAGGCCUUAGGGUUGUAAAGCUCUUUUACCCGAGAUGAUAAUGACAGUAUCGGGAGAAUAAGCUCCGGCUAACUCCGUG
RNAcentral lists this ribosomal RNA (433 nucleotides) under uncultured bacterium. RNAcentral's name for it is "partial 16S ribosomal RNA". It matches the Rfam family "Bacterial small subunit ribosomal RNA", at positions 29 to 507 of the family's 1533-position model. The record is from RNAcentral.